This is a long non-coding RNA of Daphnia magna, 335 nucleotides long. RefSeq lists it as uncharacterized. The record is from RefSeq and is a predicted model, not a curated record. NCBI's taxonomy places the organism in Eukaryota, Metazoa, Arthropoda, Branchiopoda, Diplostraca, Daphniidae. The transcript is spliced from 3 exons.
UCGCGUGGCUUCCGAUUGAGGAUGGAUGCUUAAAAUACGUGUCUCCUCUUGAAAUUCAGGAAGGAUGCUUAAACAACCGCCUCUCUUCUUGAAAUUCACCACCGAUUCCGUGUUUCUUUAGUUCCAUCUUUGAAUUCAAUCAAUGCUGAGUUAUCACAGGAGGAGCAUGGCUUGGCUUUGCCAACACGUUUUCAUUCCGUUAGUCUAAUGCAGCCAUUUUGUACCAAAGAUCUUCGGUAUGUACCUGAUGUGCUGUGGUGGCCUCAGAAUCAUUCAGUGACAGAAAGGAAUGCUAUUGUUGUUCUGUUAGUUAAAUACAAGAUUUCCAGUAUUAA